This 59-nucleotide transfer RNA is filed under the name Aquirufa aurantiipilula. Its description in RNAcentral is "tRNA-Ala". It matches the Rfam family "tRNA", at positions 9 to 63 of the family's 71-position model. Rfam says of the family: Transfer RNA (tRNA) molecules are approximately 80 nucleotides in length. Their secondary structure includes four short double-helical elements and three loops (D, anti-codon, and T loops). The record is from RNAcentral. Lineage: Bacteria; Pseudomonadati; Bacteroidota; Cytophagia; Cytophagales; Flectobacillaceae. RNAcentral also lists the same sequence under 2 other names.
AGCUCAGCUGGCUAGAGCACCUGCCUUGCACGCAGGGGGUCAACGGUUCGAAUCCGUUA